This is a non-coding RNA of Ictidomys tridecemlineatus (thirteen-lined ground squirrel), 1429 nucleotides long. The record is from RefSeq and is a predicted model, not a curated record. Lineage: Eukaryota; Metazoa; Chordata; Mammalia; Rodentia; Sciuridae.
GCCACACCCCCAGCCCUAUUUUUGAAUUUUAUUUAGAGACAGGGUCUCACUGAGUGUGUAACACCUUGCCUUUGCUGAUCCUGGCUUUGAACUUGUGAUUCUCCUGUCUCAGCCUCCCAGCUGCUGGUAUUUCAGAAUUGCUCCACCGUGCCUAGGUGAUUAAUUGAUUUUUGACAAAGGUGCCAACCAUAUGAUAGGAAAAGGAAAAUCUCUUUUAAAAAUGGUGUGGGAAACUGGAUAUCCACAUGUAGAAAAUGAAACUGGACUCUUCUCUUGCACUGUAUACAAAAAAUCAGUUGCAAAUGGAUUAAACAGACCUAAGAAUGUAAAACUACUAGAAGAAAACAUGGGGGUUGGAGGAAUACUUGACCUUGGUCUAGGCAAACAGACAACAAAAGCAAAACUAGACAAGUGAGAUUACACCAAAAUAAAAAGUUUCGGUACAAUAAAGAAAGCAAUCAACAGAAUGAAGUAACAACUCAUGGCAAAUUAUUUUGAAUGGGAGAAAAUAUUUACAAGCCAUAUAUCUCAUAAGGGGUUAAUAUAUAAAAUAUUCAAGGAACUCAAACAAUUCUACAGAAAGAAAGCAAAUAAUUUGAUUAAAUAAUGGGCAAAGGGCCUGAAUAGACAUUCCUCAAAAGAGGACAUACCAAUGGCCAACUCGGAGUUGAAGAAUGCUCAGUAUUGCUAAAUCAUUAGAUAAUGCCUAAUUAGAUAUUGUAUUAUUUAAGCACAAUAAGAUACCUCACAUCUGUCAAAAUGACUUAUCAAAAAGACAAACAAUAACAAGUGUCAGAGAGGAUAUGGAGGAAAGGGAACACUUGUACAUCGGUGGUGGGUACAUAAGUUAGUCCAGCCAUUAUGGAAACUGUGGAAGUUCCUCAAGAAACCAAACAGUUUCCACAUGAUCCAGUCAUUCCACUCUGGGCAUCUACAUGGUGACGAGACACGCACACCCCAUGUACACUGUAGCACUAGUCAUAGUGGCCAAGUUAUGGAAUCAAGACUAAGCAUUCGUCGAGAGACGAAUGGGUAAAGAAAACGUGGUCUAGAAGCACCGUGGAGUACUUCAGCCUUCAGGAAGAAGUUCAGGGACUUGUGGCAAUGUGGAUGGAAACGGAGAAAAUAAGGCCACAUGAACUAAGCCAGCUCAGAAAGACAGAUCCCACACAUCCUCCCCUACAGGCAGGAUCUAAUACCAUGUGACCCAGAGAGGCCGAGAUCGGAGGUUACUAUCUGGGGUGGGGAGUGGGGAGAUGCCAGCUAAUGGGCACAAAGCCUCAGACAGGAGGGAGCAGGGAGGCUUUUUCUUUGUGUAUAUGGCACAAUGGGAUGGAAACGGUAAAUGAUUCUGAAUUGUACCUUUCAAAAUUACUCAGCAUAUAUUUCAAAUGUUCUCUCCAUAAAAAAAUAAGGAUUUGAGAUGGAA